RNAcentral lists this ribosomal RNA (527 nucleotides) under uncultured Actinomycetes bacterium. RNAcentral describes it as "bacterial SSU rRNA". It matches the Rfam family "Bacterial small subunit ribosomal RNA", at positions 8 to 522 of the family's 1533-position model. The record is from RNAcentral. Lineage: Bacteria; Bacillati; Actinomycetota; Actinomycetes.
AGAGUUUGACAUGGCUCAGGACGAACGCUGGCGGCGUGCUUAACACAUGCAAGUGGAGCGACGAACCGGGCUUCGGCCCGGGGCAAAGCCGCGAACGGGUGAGUAUCACGUGGGUAACCUGCCCCGAUGACCGGGACAACCCGAGGAAACUCGAGCUAAUACCGGAUGUCCUCGCAGCACAUCAGUGCAGCGAGCAAAGGAAGCUUCGGCCUCCGCAUUGGGAUGGGCCCGCGGCCCAUUAGCUUGUUGGUGAGGUAAAAGCUCACCAAGGCGACGAUGGGUAGCUGGUCUGAGAGGACGAUCAGCCACACUGGGACUGAGACACGGCCCAGACUCCUACGGGAGGCAGCAGUGGGGAAUCUUGCGCAAUGCGCGAAAGCGUGACGCAGUAACGCCGCGUGAGGGAAGAAGGCCUUCGGGUUGUAAACCUCUUUCAGGAGGGACGAAGGUUCAGGCGCGAACAGCGUCCUGGACUGACGGUACCUCCAGAAGAAGCCCCGGCUAACUACGUGCCAGCAGCCGCGGUA